This 477-nucleotide ribosomal RNA is filed under the name Helicobacter pullorum. Its description in RNAcentral is "bacterial LSU rRNA". It matches the Rfam family "Bacterial large subunit ribosomal RNA", at positions 1 to 499 of the family's 2925-position model. Lineage: Bacteria; Pseudomonadati; Campylobacterota; Epsilonproteobacteria; Campylobacterales; Helicobacteraceae. The record is from RNAcentral.
AGUUAAGCUUGUGAAGGGCAAAUGGUGGAUGCCUUGGGUAGUAGAGGCGAUGAAGGACGUACUAGACUGCGAUAAGCUAGGGGGAGCUGUCAAGAAGCUUUGAUCCCUAGAUUUCCGAAUGGGGCAACCCAAUAUGUAGCAAUACAUAUUACCUUAAAUGGAGCGAACCUAGUGAAGUGAAACAUCUCAGUAACUAGAGGAAAAGAAAUCAAACGAGAUUCUCUUAGUAGCGGCGAGCGAAAGGGGAACAGGGCAAACCAGAUGCUUGCAUCUGGGGUUGAGGACUGCAACAUCCACUGCAAUACUUUAAUAGAACAUUCUGGAAAGGAUAGCCAUAGAGGGUGAUAGUCCCGUAUAUGAAAGAGUAUUGCUAGGUAGCAGGAUCCAGAGUAGGUCAGGACACGUGAAAUCCGGGCUGAAGCUGGGGGGACCACCCUCCAACCCUAAAUACUACUACUACACCGAUAGCGAACCAGU